RNAcentral lists this ribosomal RNA (1745 nucleotides) under Meloidogyne cruciani. RNAcentral describes it as "SSU rRNA". It matches the Rfam family "Eukaryotic small subunit ribosomal RNA". The record is from RNAcentral. Lineage: Eukaryota; Metazoa; Nematoda; Chromadorea; Rhabditida; Meloidogynidae.
UGGCCAUUAUUUACUUGAUCUUGAUUGUCUAAAUGGAUAACUGUGGAAAAGCUAGAGCUAAUACAUGCACCAAAGCUUUGUCCUCACGGAAAAGCGCAUUUAUUAGAACAAAACCACGCGGCUUCGGCUGCUUCUUGUUGACUCAGAAUAACUUAGCUGACCGCAUGGCCUUGUGCCGGCGGCGUGUCUUUCAAGCGUCCACUUUAUCAACUUGACGGGAGCAUAAUCGACUCCCGUGGUGGUGACGGAUAACGGAGGAUCAGGGUUCGACUCCGGAGAAGGGGCCUGAGAAAUGGCCACUACGUCUAAGGAUGGCAGCAGGCGCGCAAAUUACCCACUCUCGGCUCCAGGAGGUAGUGACGAGAAAUAACGAGACUGUUCUCUUUGAGGCCGGUCAUCGGAAUGGGUACAAUUUAAACCCUUUAACGAGUAUCAAGCAGAGGGCAAGUCUGGUGCCAGCAGCCGCGGUAAUUCCAGCUCUGCAAAUACAUAGAAUUAUUGCUGCGGUUAGAAAGCUCAUAGUUGGAUUCGUAUCGGUACCCUGGAACCCUUCGGGUGUCUCUGGGUGUUAUCGAUUUAUCGUAAUGUUCGGUUUUGAGUCCUUAACAGGAUUCUUAACAGGCAUUGCAAGUUUACUUUGAACAAAUCAGAGUGCUUCAAACAGGCGUUUUCGCUUGAAUGAUCGUGCAUGGAAUAAUAGAAAACGAUUUCGGUUCAGUUUUAUUGGUUUUACGGACUGAGAUAAUGGUUAACAGAGACAAACGGGGGCAUUUGUAUGGCCCCGUGAGAGGUGAAAUUCUUGGACCGUGGCCAGACAAACUACAGCGAAAGCAUUUGCCAAGAAUGUCUUCAUUAAUCAAGAACGAAAGUCAGAGGUUCGAAGGCGAUCAGAUACCGCCCUAGUUCUGACCGUAAACGAUGCCAACUAGCGAUCCGCCGAUGGAAAUUAUAUUGCCUUGGUGGGGAGCUUCCCGGAAACGAAAGUCUUCCGGUUCCGGGGGAAGUAUGGUUGCAAAGCUGAAACUUAAAGGAAUUGACGGAAGGGCACCACCAGGAGUGGAGCCUGCGGCUUAAUUUGACUCAACACGGGGAAACUCACCCGGCCCGGACACUGUGAGGAUUGACAGAUUGAUAGCUUUUUCAUGAUUCAGUGGAUGGUGGUGCAUGGCCGUUCUUAGUUCGUGGAGUGAUUUGUCUGGUUUAUUCCGAUAACGAGCGAGACUCUAACCUACUAAAUAGUUGGUACAUACUCUUAGUGUAUACAGCUUCUUAGAGGGAUUUGCGGCGUUCAGCCGAAAGAAAUUGAGCAAUAACAGGUCUGUGAUGCCCUUAGAUGUCCGGGGCUGCACGCGCGCUACACUGGCAAAAUCAACGUGCUUGUCCUACCCUGAAAGGGGCGGGUAAACCAUUGAAAAUUUGCCGUGAUUGGGAUCGGAAAUUGCAAUUAUUUUCCGUGAACGAGGAAUUCCAAGUAAGUGCGAGUCAUCAGCUCGCGUUGAUUACGUCCCUGCCCUUUGUACACACCGCCCGUCGCUGCCCGGGACUGAGCCAUUUCGAGAAAUUUGGGGACCGUUGAUUUAAUUUUUCUAAAUUACUUUGAUGGAAACCAAUUUAAUCGCAGUGGCUUGAACCGGGCAAAAGUCGUAACAAGGUAGCAAUCGAAUUCCCGCGGCCGCCAUGGCGGCCGGGAGCAUGCGACGUCGGGCCCAAUUCGCCCUAUAGUGAGUCGUAUUACAAUUCACUGG